This is a long non-coding RNA of Polypterus senegalus (gray bichir), 756 nucleotides long. RefSeq lists it as uncharacterized. The record is from RefSeq and is a predicted model, not a curated record. Lineage: Eukaryota; Metazoa; Chordata; Cladistia; Polypteriformes; Polypteridae. The transcript has 2 exons.
CGGUUAAGUAUUAUGUUGAUGGCGUGAAACUUGAAAGUCAGUUUGCUUGGUCCUCUUUCUUGAUUCUUUAAAAAUCAAUAUUUUGAUAUACAUAAUACUUAGUGAAAAUUGUAGAGGCUAAUAAGUGUACUAUUUAUUCUCUACACUUUAUCGCGUCGAUAACUUAUAAGGCUGUUGCACUGAUUAUUGAAGAUCCUGCCGCUGAGCUCCGGAAUCCACUUGCACCACAAUGCUUUAGCCAUGCAUUGGAAAAAAAUCAUUUAGUGCGUAAAUGAUCGUUGGUCUAAGUACACUGACAUUCUUCAUCUCUUGAGCGUUGGAAUCUCAAAGGACGGACUGCACCAGAGGAUAACUUGUAAUAAGGAUCAUCCACCUGAGAUGCUACACAGUCUGAUUAAAUCUUGGCAUAGUGACAGUUGACUGUGUAUCUUGCAAGAGUUGUUCCUUCAUCUGAGCAAACUUGAUCUUUUUGUACUCGUGUUGGUACUUGUUAGAAUCUUUAAAUCAGACACAACCUGUGGGCAAAGGAAUGCUUCAGAACAGUCAGUCUCCUUUUAUCAAAAUGUUUCAGUACAAUUGACUUACAAAAGAUGUUCUAAUCACGUAUUCAGAAAAUCCUGUUAGGGUGUACUUUGUCAGUUCUGUUGCCAAGGUUAGAGUUAAAAUUAACACACAUACUGUAGUAGGGUCCUUUUUUAGUUUUCAACUUGUACUGUUGGUUGCUAAAUUUAAAGACCUAAUUUGUUUUAGCCAAUU